This 497-nucleotide ribosomal RNA is filed under the name uncultured bacterium. RNAcentral describes it as "partial 16S ribosomal RNA". It matches the Rfam family "Bacterial small subunit ribosomal RNA", at positions 28 to 507 of the family's 1533-position model. The record is from RNAcentral.
GAUGAGCGCUGGCGGCGUGCCUAAUACAUGCAAGUCGAGCGAACAGACGAGGAGCUUGCUCCUCUGACGUUAGCGGCGGACGGGUGAGUAACACGUGGAUAACCUACCUAUAAGACUGGGAUAACUUCGGGAAACCGGAGCUAAUACCGGAUAAUAUAUUGAACCGCAUGGUUCAAUAGUGAAAGACGGUUUUGCUGUCACUUAUAGAUGGAUCCGCGCCGCAUUAGCUAGUUGGUAAGGUAACGGCUUACCAAGGCAACGAUGCGUAGCCGACCUGAGAGGGUGAUCGGCCACACUGGAACUGAGACACGGUCCAGACUCCUACGGGAGGCAGCAGUAGGGAAUCUUCCGCAAUGGGCGAAAGCCUGACGGAGCAACGCCGCGUGAGUGAUGAAGGUCUUCGGAUCGUAAAACUCUGUUAUUAGGGAAGAACAAAUGUGUAAGUAACUAUGCACGUCUUGACGGUACCUAAUCAGAAAGCCCCGGCUAACUACGUG